This 291-nucleotide ribosomal RNA is filed under the name uncultured bacterium. RNAcentral describes it as "partial 16S ribosomal RNA". It matches the Rfam family "Bacterial small subunit ribosomal RNA", at positions 335 to 642 of the family's 1533-position model. The record is from RNAcentral.
GUUCCUACGGGACGCAGCAGUGGGGAAUAUUGCACAAUGGGGGAAACCCUGAUGCAGCGACGCCGCGUGAGUGAAGAAGUAUUUCGGUAUGUAAAGCUCUAUCAGCAGGGAAGAAAAAAGACGGUACCUGACUAAGAAGCCCCGGCUAACUACGUGCCAGCAGCCGCGGUAAUACGUAGGGGGCAAGCGUUAUCCGGAUUUACUGGGUGUAAAGGGAGCGUAGACGGUAUGGCAAGUCUGAAGUGAAAGCCCAGGGCUUAACCCUGGGACUGCUUUGGAAACUGUUAGACU